ACUGUCCGUCUCUGAUUGUCCAACCAUUCACCCCUCCAGCUGUGACUGUUCCCUCCAUUUUUUCAGCCCCGAUUACCAGUUUUGAGUCCCACCCACCGUCCUCAUUAUUCAACUUUCUGACCACCCAUCUGCUGGUGACGGUCCGUGUUCCUAAUUCCCCACCAGCACCACCAGCCUCCCACCCCUCUGUGCGCCUCACUGUCCGUCUGUCCGUCCACCCCCAGAUCAACUACUACUUCAUCAACAGCCAGGGCCACCCCAUCGAAGGCCUUGCCAUCAUGUACUACAUCGCACACCUGCUGAAGGGCGCCCUCCUCUUCAUCACCAUCGCCCUGAUCGGCUCAGGCUGGGCCUUCAUCAAGUACGUCCUGUCGGAUAAGGAGAAGAAGGUCUUUGGGAUCGUGAUCCCCAUGCAGGUCCUGGCCAACGUGGCCUACAUCGUCAUCGAGUCCCGCGAGGAGGGCGCCAGCGACUACGUGCUGUGGAAGG
This 489-nucleotide small RNA is filed under the name Pongo abelii (Sumatran orangutan). Its description in RNAcentral is "retained intron". Lineage: Eukaryota; Metazoa; Chordata; Mammalia; Primates; Hominidae. The record is from RNAcentral.